RNAcentral lists this long non-coding RNA (774 nucleotides) under Monodelphis domestica (gray short-tailed opossum). RNAcentral's name for it is "lncRNA (ENSMODG00000034475.2)". Lineage: Eukaryota; Metazoa; Chordata; Mammalia; Didelphimorphia; Didelphidae. The record is from RNAcentral.
AUGGAGUAUGUGCAUAAAGAAUUGAGUUGGAGAGGGCAGCUACUUGGCUCAGUAAUCUGGUCUCAGACAUUUCCUACCUAUGUGACCCUGGACAAGUCACUUAACAUUCCCCCCCACACACACACACACACACUGCGCCCAUUGCCUUCACUUUCCUGCUCUUCUGACUUGGAGCCAAUAUACUAUUCUAAGACAGAAGAAAAGCAGAUGCAGUAUCCUGAAGUUUCUGAAAUUCUAAACCUGGAAAGGGUCGAGGGGAUCGUUAUAGGAGAAAGAGAGGGAAGAAGAGAGGGAGAAAAAAAAUUUGUUAUUGAUCACCAAGAUUUGUUUUCUUCUCUCUACAUAUGGGUCAAAAGAAUCAACCUCACAACAAAAGAUGGUGAAGGCAUAGCUAUGCAAAAAUUAAUCUUAAGAAGAUCUCAGCUUCUUGGAGGACAGUGGAUCAAGGAGUCAGCAAUGUGUCAUGACAAAAACAAGGGAAAAAAAGAAUAUAAUGCCAUUAUAGGAUUCAUUAAGAAAGUCAGAUAUAGCCUUUCCAUAGGAGGAAAGAGGUAUCAUGAGUUGCCAUAAAGCCAUUCUGCAAAGAGUUGGGUGACGGCAUGUCAGGAAGAAUUGGUCCUCCUAGGUAAGGCAACUGCCAUGUCAAAUGGCAAUGAAUAUCUGACUCCUCUAUAAAGUGGGGCAUAAUCCCUGUAACUCCUGAGAACCACUGGAGUAAUGCAAUUUCUAAAAUGCUUCUUCUUAAUAAAUUAGCAUUCUUUUUCUUGAGAACCA